RNAcentral lists this ribosomal RNA (2077 nucleotides) under Escherichia coli. RNAcentral's name for it is "partial 23S ribosomal RNA". It matches the Rfam family "Bacterial large subunit ribosomal RNA", at positions 165 to 2265 of the family's 2925-position model. Lineage: Bacteria; Pseudomonadati; Pseudomonadota; Gammaproteobacteria; Enterobacterales; Enterobacteriaceae. The record is from RNAcentral.
CAUAGGUUAAUGAGGCGAACCGGGGGAACUGAAACAUCUAAGUACCCCGAGGAAAAGAAAUCAACCGAGAUUCCCCCAGUAGCGGCGAGCGAACGGGGAGGAGCCCAGAGCCUGAAUCAGUGUGUGUGUUAGUGGAAGCGUCUGGAAAGGCGCGCGAUACAGGGUGACAGCCCCGUACACAAAAAUGCACAUGCUGUGAGCUCGAUGAGUAGGGCGGGACACGUGGUAUCCUGUCUGAAUAUGGGGGGACCAUCCUCCAAGGCUAAAUACUCCUGACUGACCGAUAGUGAACCAGUACCGUGAGGGAAAGGCGAAAAGAACCCCGGCGAGGGGAGUGAAAAAGAACCUGAAACCGUGUACGUACAAGCAGUGGGAGCACAGAGCAAUCUGUGUGACUGCGUACCUUUUGUAUAAUGGGUCAGCGACUUAUAUUCUGUAGCAAGGUUAACCGAAUAGGGGAGCCGAAGGGAAACCGAGUCUUAACUGGGCGUUAAGUUGCAGGGUAUAGACCCGAAACCCGGUGAUCUAGCCAUGGGCAGGUUGAAGGUUGGGUAACACUAACUGGAGGACCGAACCGACUAAUGUUGAAAAAUUAGCGGAUGACUUGUGGCUGGGGGUGAAAGGCCAAUCAAACCGGGAGAUAGCUGGUUCUCCCCGAAAGCUAUUUAGGUAGCGCCUCGUGAAUUCAUCUCCGGGGGUAGAGCACUGUUUCGGCAAGGGGGUCAUCCCGACUUACCAACCCGAUGCAAACUGCGAAUACCGGAGAAUGUUAUCACGGGAGACACACGGCGGGUGCUAACGUCCGUCGUGAAGAGGGAAACAACCCAGACCGCCAGCUAAGGUCCCAAAGUCAUGGUUAAGUGGGAAACGAUGUGGGAAGGCCCAGACAGCCAGGAUGUUGGCUUAGAAGCAGCCAUCAUUUAAAGAAAGCGUAAUAGCUCACUGGUCGAGUCGGCCUGCGCGGAAGAUGUAACGGGGCUAAACCAUGCACCGAAGCUGCGGCAGCGACACUGUGUGUUGUUGGGUAGGGGAGCGUUCUGUAAGCCUGUGAAGGUGUGCUGUGAGGCAUGCUGGAGGUAUCAGAAGUGCGAAUGCUGACAUAAGUAACGAUAAAGCGGGUGAAAAGCCCGCUCGCCGGAAGACCAAGGGUUCCUGUCCAACGUUAAUCGGGGCAGGGUGAGUCGACCCCUAAGGCGAGGCCGAAAGGCGUAGUCGAUGGGAAACAGGUUAAUAUUCCUGUACUUGGUGUUACUGCGAAGGGGGGACGGAGAAGGCUAUGUUGGCCGGGCGACGGUUGUCCCGGUUUAAGCGUGUAGGCUGGUUUUCCAGGCAAAUCCGGAAAAUCAAGGCUGAGGCGUGAUGACGAGGCACUACGGUGCUGAAGCAACAAAUGCCCUGCUUCCAGGAAAAGCCUCUAAGCAUCAGGUAACAUCAAAUCGUACCCCAAACCGACACAGGUGGUCAGGUAGAGAAUACCAAGGCGCUUGAGAGAACUCGGGUGAAGGAACUAGGCAAAAUGGUGCCGUAACUUCGGGAGAAGGCACGCUGAUAUGUAGGUGAAGUCCCUCGCGGAUGGAGCUGAAAUCAGUCGAAGAUACCAGCUGGCUGCAACUGUUUAUUAAAAACACAGCACUGUGCAAACACGAAAGUGGACGUAUACGGUGUGACGCCUGCCCGGUGCCGGAAGGUUAAUUGAUGGGGUCAGCGCAAGCGAAGCUCUUGAUCGAAGCCCCGGUAAACGGCGGCCGUAACUAUAACGGUCCUAAGGUAGCGAAAUUCCUUGUCGGGUAAGUUCCGACCUGCACGAAUGGCGUAAUGAUGGCCAGGCUGUCUCCACCCGAGACUCAGUGAAAUUGAACUCGCUGUGAAGAUGCAGUGUACCCGCGGCAAGACGGAAAGACCCCGUGAACCUUUACUAUAGCUUGACACUGAACAUUGAGCCUUGAUGUGUAGGAUAGGUGGGAGGCUUUGAAGUGUGGACGCCAGUCUGCAUGGAGCCGACCUUGAAAUACCACCCUUUAAUGUUUGAUGUUCUAACGUGGACCCGUGAUCCGGGUUGCGGACAGUGUCUGGUGGG